This 418-nucleotide ribosomal RNA is filed under the name uncultured bacterium. Its description in RNAcentral is "partial 16S ribosomal RNA". It matches the Rfam family "Bacterial small subunit ribosomal RNA", at positions 361 to 776 of the family's 1533-position model. The record is from RNAcentral.
AUAUUGGUCAAUGGAGGCAACUCUGAACCAGCCACGUCGCGUGAAGGAUGACGGCCCUACGGGUUGUAAACUUCUUUUAUACAGGAAUAAAGUGAGUCACGUGGUACUUUUUGCAUGUCCUGUAUGUAUAAGGCUCGGCUAACUCCGUGACAGCAGCCGCGGUAAUACGGAGGAUCCAAGCGUUAUCCGGAUUUAUGGGGUUUAAAGGGUGCGCAGGCGGAAGAUUAAGUCGGCGGUGAAAUUUUGCAGCUCAACUGUAAAAGUGCCAUCGAUACUGGUUUUCUUGAGUGUGGAUGAAGUAGGGGGAAUUUGUGGUGUAGCGGUGAAAUGCAUAGAUAUAACGAGGAACUCCGAUUGCGCAGGCAGCUUACUAGGCCAUAACUGACGCUCAGGCACGAAGGCGUGGGGAUCAAACAGG